Numida meleagris (helmeted guineafowl) is the source of this 14428-nucleotide long non-coding RNA. RefSeq lists it as uncharacterized. The record is from RefSeq and is a predicted model, not a curated record. The transcript has 4 exons. Lineage: Eukaryota; Metazoa; Chordata; Aves; Galliformes; Numididae.
CGGCGGGAGGCGGCCUCCCUUACCCACAAGGCCCCGCUGCGAUACAGCGGCCGCGUAGCUGAGCGCUCACUCAGCGCCCGUCUGUAACCGCGCCGGGAGGGAGCGGAGGGCCGCGAUGGAAAGGGAUCGUCGAAGUGAUCUCCCGCCCAGUGCCCGGCUGCGGGGUGCGGUGGUGCGAUUGGGGCCGCGGCUGCAGCGUGAGGGGCGAAAAGCGCUCUUCUGACAGCACGUUAGGGGACAAAAAGGAGCUGAGCUGUGCGGGGCCGGGCGUGAAGAGGGAAAACCCCACAAGGAUGAGGUGGUUGGAACAGCCUCUAGAAGGACGGGCUGAGCCGCAGCAUCUGGGGGACAACGGGCUGCACACCAGGGCCAGCCCGACCUCACCCGGAGGAGGAGGAGGAUAGGUGAUGGAGGUGGAUAUGCUGUGAGGUAGGGACCCAGGCCUCCUGGAAAGGGUGGCACAGAGAUGGAGUUCGUGCCCCCGGGCAGCGUGGUGAAGACAACAGGCACUGGCUGCAGCGGCUGGUGGAGAUAGCAAGGACCUCACGGAGAAAAGAUGAACGUUUUCGUUUUGGCAUGUUGCCUUACAGCUGAUAGCUGAAUGGCAAUGAGCUGAUGUCAGGAAAUGGGCAAAUAGUUUGACUUGAAAGGAAAAGGAUUGAAAGAGCAGUAAAUACAUGAGUCACUGGCAUGGCUCUGAGUGAGGUCACCCUGUGCAGUGUUCUGAGUCAGGACCCUGGGGCUGAACAACCCCCUCCCCCCGUUCCAGGGAUUCAGAUCUGAAUGUUAACCCUAACCCCAUCAUUGGGCUUUAUUUUACAGAAAGAGGGAUCAAAAUCCCUGAAUCUAACAGAAGCACGUGUGUGUGUGUGUGUGUGUGUAUGUAUGUGUGUGUGUGUGAAUGCUGUAACCAUCGAAUCUGGGUUCAGGCACUGAAUCCUUCACUGAAAUGCAUUCAGGAGUUGGUGGGUUUCCUGGAGGAAUGGGUGAAAGUUUUCUUGGGAGAUGCACUUUAUCUACGUUGAAGGGCUACCUCUUUCCCAAAGCAGCUUGUGAUCCACUUUGUAAUAUUCAUGCAAAAUAAAUCACAUAAUUUGCUCAAGCAGUCUAUGCUGAAAUGACAAAAGACAAAGGGGCAACAACUGGUAGUUUUUGCUAGCAUUAGGAUGUAGGUGCUAGUAAGGUCGCAAAGUUACAUGAGCUACCACUUCAACCCUUAGAAGCUGUAAAUUACCUACAAGAAACUAUUUCUUCCUGUAUGGCCUACUUUUGAGUAGGCUAAUUUCUUUUAAGUAGUACGGUAGAAAUGUAUUUUAGUGUUUAGUGUUGUAUUUUUUGUUUUGUUUUUAAAUAAUAGUUUUAAAUGGGUUUGGACGAAAGACAAAAUGUGAGGAACACGUAGUCAACACAGAGCCCAUGCCUGGUUUUGUUACUGGCAGCAGGAAUCUUUAGGGUGAUUUCAGUGAGCUUUCAGUCAAGCACCAGACGAUUUGAAGAUGUAAGUUCUCUUCCAAGGCAAGCUGCAUCUCUUUCCUCAUUUUUGUUUUUUAAAUCUCUAGAGUAAAGUUUGUAAAAAAUGAAUCUAAUUCUUUAUCUAGCCCAUAUGGUUCAGUGAUAUUGUCUAGGGAAAUGUUUACACACAUAACAAAGCAAUUCUUAAAUAAGCAUAAUGUCUUUUUUUUGCAUGCAAAAAAAAAAAAAAAAAGUGUGAUUGUGACUUCAAAAGUGAGUUUGUAGAAACAGUAAGUACCUUUUUGAAAUUCUUUCCCAAUAGAUCUAUUCCGCCAGCAUUCAGGACAUGGCUGUUUACUGUUGAAGCAAGUUUUACUCUAUUAAUGUUAGAAAGCCAUAUUCACAAUGGCAGCAUCGGCUGAAUUCCAUUGUGUGACACAAAUCCGCAACAAAAUUGUCAGCUCUAUUCUACCAGCAGAAUAAUUAUUACUCGUUAUAAAUGGUUAAGUGACAAAAUGAGCACUUUGAAAGUCAGAUCCUGCCCUUGGUGUGCAGGGUUUGUAUUUAGGAAAACACUGUUUUAACACGUUAGUUGAACAAGUUAAUAUGGAUGUCCUGAAGGAAAAACACCACCAUCUUGUGUGAUCUUUUUUCAGUUCUACCUUUUCUGCCUGUAAUAACAUGCAUCUCUUAGAGUAACACCUACCCCUAACACUAACCAUCUAAGGAAGAGCUGUUUUGGCUUUGUCCACGCAUAGCUGUUUUGAAGUCUGAUGCAGUGAACUGUCAACUGUUGUUUGCCAUGUUUUGAAAGGCAAAGCCUGAGACUCUCAGGGUGCUCUGAAAGCAGACUGCAGCUGCAAGCAUGCAAAUCCACAGCUGGGUCCUUCACCUUUCUCCUCUGCUCUCUGAGAUACCAUUUAAUUAUUUUGUUGCUUAAAUCCAACUAUGUUUUAGGUGUCCAGUAGCACUCAUGAGUUUGCUGUUGACCAUUUUCAGAACUGUCUGUUUUUUCUAAGCAAGUUGCAAAGAAAUGAGUAAAGUGGUCAUUGAUCUGCUCAGAGCUUCAUGAAAGCAGGUUUUAAUCCCUCAGCACAUCCCCUGUCAGAGUAUCGCACACUUUUAAUCCGUAGGGCUGUGAGUUAUGAAUCACCAGGUUCAGAUGUGAGGGUGGUGAGACACUGGAUCGGGCUUCCCAAAGUUCUUGAUGCUCCAUGCCUGUCAGUGUUCAAGAUGCAUUUGAACAAUGCCCUCAGUAACAUGCUUAACUUUUGGUUAGCUCUGAAGUGAUCAGGUGAUUGGACUUGGUCAUCUUUGAAGGUCCAUCUCAACUGGACUGUUCAGUUCUGCUCUAGAUUGUUCCUUCAGAGGACUGCCACAAGUAUCAGGCCUUCUCAGGAAGACAAGGAAUUUUGAUCUGGGUUUCAGACAUGCUUUAACUACUAGCAUUCACAAGAGAGGGAAAGGGAGAUAAGCCAUUCAUUUGUGCAUCUGCUUUAGGAGAAGGGGCUGCUCUAUUCUUAGCAUUUGCUGCUGGCUACUUAAGGCUUUUGUGAAUCCUCUUCCUAGGUUCCCAUUCUCUACAAUCCAUGCAAAAUGAGCAUAAGAGCACUGUGGAGGAGGGAAUAGAUUUGACUAAUUGGUAGGGCGCCCAGAAAUUAGGUGUAGCAACUCACGCGGCCCUAGUCCAUGUUUGGGUUUUACAUAUGAGUUGCCAGUGAUCUCCUGGACUAACUCUGUGGAGAGAACGUUAAUUGACUCUCAUCACAGAAUCACUUGGGUUGGAGGGGACUCUUAAAGAUCAUCUAGUGCAACCCUCUUGCCAUGGGCAAGCACAACUCUCACCAGACAAAGCUCCAUCGAAUGCAACUUUGAACACCUCCAGGGAUGGGGCAUCCACAGCUUCUUUGGGCAGCCUCUGCCACAGUCUGACCACUCUCACCAUGAAGAAUUUCGUGUAUCCAAUCUAAAUCUACUCUCCAUCUCAACCAGUGAGAAACAGGUUGUAACAACAGAGUAAGAAAGACACUAAAACAAAUAGUCCAAGCAAAUACACAAGCUUCAGAUAUGUCAAACCACUACAGGAAAGGUGUGCGAGCAUUGGCCCUGCAUGCUGAGGAGCCCAGACACUGCUCUGACAGCCUGUGCAUCGCAUUCUGUUGUGGAGGAAGUAGGGCAAGAGGCUGUGGCUUGAUAAUGAGGUCUCAGGGCUUUGGAGGUUAUAGCUAAAGAUCGUCAUCCUGCCUCCAGACAAUAGUCUGCAUUUACUUCACUAGCGUAACAGGAGCUUUAUUUUUAGAUUCAUAAAUAUGAAAUAGGGAAGUAAAGAAAUGUAAGCCUAGUGAUUUAUUUUGGUUUAUUUUGAUUAUUUUCUUGCUUUUUAAAAAAUUUUUCUUUCUCACGUGCUGGUGUUUAAUCGGUCUAAUGGUUAAAAAAUAUUUCUUCUGGAUUAAAAAUUAAGCAUUUUUUGUGUCUUCAGGUUAAUGAAAAUAGACAGUAAGGAAGGUACUUGACUUUGUAUGUCUGGGACAUGUCAGAGUAGGUGUUUUAAAGGGAUUGUAAGGUUAAGUAUUCAGCCGCAAUCAUCGUUGUUGAUUUUCUUAUUCUACUGUUGUCUUGGUGCAAGUAUUACAAUUAUACAAAGUACACCAAAAAGCGCAUUUUUAAAUAUUUUUCACUUAAUUCACAAUACAGCAUCUGUUGCAUUGCAACUAGUGGCUUUACAUACAGGCAGCCUUUCAAAACCCUGCAUUUGCAAACCAUCUCUCAGUCAGAACAACACUACCACAUCAAUCAUGGGCACAGGCAAGCUAUAAAAUUACAAAACCACUCAGCCAUCUGUAUAAUUAAAUACAAACCAAAGUAAUCGAGCAAAUGUUAAAGAAAAUAUCUUUAUAUUGUAAAUUUUAGAGGAAAGGGCCUACAUCUACUGUUUCUGACUGGGAAGGAUGGUAUCUUUGUCUCUGAUAGAUGUGCCUUAUUAUUGCUGCCCACUCUUUCAAGCAGCAUAGCCUGCUCGCUGAGCAAUGCAGAAAUAUUAGUUGGCACCGCUUGCUGUCUAAAAGUUAGUAUCUAAAUCACAAAUACCAAAGAAUCAGGUAAAGGAGGUGUGAAAUGAGUAGAGUAGGUGCGUAAGGGCUGGGUGUGUCCCUGUAACACGCGAUGUCGCCUUUGUUGUCUUUGAUUUCAGGCGUUUCAUAACCCCAGCUAAUGUUAGCAAGGUAGUUUUGUAGUCUCUUGGAUGCAUUGGGAAGACAGAAGUGAAACAGUGAAUCUAGGUUAAUUGAAAUGCUUAGGUGAUGUUGAUGUGCCAGAUUCUGUUCUGCAGAUCUCAGGAGGAAACAUGCAGUAAGCAUAGCUCAGAGAGUAAGGACAAUGUGACCUAAAGUUUUCUUUUGCUGCUCUCUACGCUUAGCUUAAAGCCUGAAGCUCUCCAGCCCAUAGACAUGAAUCACAGCAGUUGAAGGGACUGCUCUGAUGAAAUCCUCCCUGUCUUGCUGUGAGCAGGCUGCUUAUACCUCACUGUACCUUAGAGCCAAGGAGGAUUUCUGCUGAUCUUAGUUCUCUGCAUGUAUCACCUCUGCAUUUCAGAUCAAACCUUUAAAUAUCUGCAGUAUUGAUUGUUGGCGUAAGAACCAUUGUAGGCACCUAAAUCUUUCUUCUGCUCUGGCUUUUAGCCAUGAAUAUGCAGGAACUGGCUUGGAGAGUGACAGUAAAACCCUUGGCACCCAACACUUCUUGCAAUUAGGGUGAAAUGGCAGUGGAAGAUGACUCGUAUAGAACAAGCUAAAUCAAGAUGAUUAUUGCUGCAGUUCUUGUGCAUCUCUGAAUGCCCACAUUAUGUAUCUCCAUGUUAGCACUGUCAUUCCUGCAAUCUGUUUUUCAUCAGGACUUAGCUACUGUUAAUUGUGGGGAAAACAAGCUGUGUAGCUGAUGCUGGUGUGUGAACAACCGUGGUUGCUGCGUCUGCUCUUGGGGAGCUUGCAGGGCUGUAAAAACAGAAAUAAAAGCAGUUGUGAGUGUACCAGGGAAGACAAAGCUUUGCAGAUAAGAGUUUACGCACUUUGAGAAAUUGCAUCAUCUUGUUUUUAAAUGGUAGCAGAGUCAAGCAGUGAAAUCAACAGCACUGGGAAAGAAGAGAAUGACCAGAAACCUCAGUAUUUUACUCCUCCUCGGAAAAGAAAAUAUACAAUUUUCUUAUUUUCUCCUCAUUUUGUCCAACAAGAAAGAAAGUCAUGUUUGUCAAUUUAUUGUUAGGCUUACCUGUCCAAUAGUAAAUGGGACAACUUUGUGAAGAGGAUGGCAUAGGGAUGCUCUCAGUUUUGCUGCAGUCCAGAUGAGUGCUUCAUCUAGGAUUUGGGGAUGCGUGAUGAUACUAAAGCAAAACACUGUAUGGGUAAGAAGAAAUUAGGUACAAAAAAAUGAAAAUGGUCAUAAAAAUGAUAAUCACAACUGAAUUGGAAAAAAAUCUUUGAACCUUUCAACAAAUUUGAUGUCAGGUAAGCUUUGGAAUUCUUAAAUUGUUAAAAAAUUAAAUCUUAAUUUCAAUAAUAAGUGAUUUUCAAAUAAAUUACUGUUCCCAGGAUGAUUUAGUAUAAAUGAAAAUAGGAAGUAUAAAUCUGUGUCUUAAAAGGAGGCAAAUAUGACUGUUACCAAACUCUAUGUAGCCUUGGCAGCAUACAAUGUUUAAAAAGGCAUUGAUGUGCGAAUAACAAAAGCGUAGAAGAAAGUAGGAAAUCAUUUAAAUGUAGACUGUGCCUGACUAACAUAAAUACAAAAUUUGGGGGAAAAAAUAAAAAAAAUGUGGCUGAUCUCAUUUACUUUGUCUUCAGUUAAUAGUUUGAUGUGGUAAGGCUGGCGAUGAUAGGAGUUAAUGGUAGGAAUGGAGAUGGUAGAAAUUCCAAGGACCAGCCUUGGUCAGUCUUGUUAACCUUGUAACACUUCUGAGUUAACCUUUUUGUGUAACAGCACAAAAUCAAGGAGUGUAAUCAGCACACUUGUUGGGUGCUUGCACAAAAUCAGAAGACAGCAUCAACAGAGGGUUGAGCCUGGAAACAUUCAUUUCCUAGACUGGAAAUAAGAGGAAAGUUCCUUGUUAUGAGCACUAAGGGUUUAGUACAGCCUGUAUGUGAGUAAAGGAAGCUGGAAAAUAACCAUGUUCAACAGGGCAGUAUAUCUUUAAAGGGCUGUGCGAUGUAGUGGAUGGAAUUGCAGGGACAGAGGUUGGGAGCCCUCGGUGUUGCUGUCAGCUCUUUGCUGCUGUGGCUGCACUCGUAAUGGUUUAUGAAGAGUAUAGUGUGGCCCGAAUGGAAGUGAGAACAAAUGAUUUCAUGACUGAAGACUUUGUGAAGGUGGCAUUUUUUAUUCAAAAGUCACGAUGAAUAUAGCAAACCUUGCAUGGUUUUGGCGGAACCAAACUGGCUAGUUUUCCUUGCUUGGGAAAGGAAGGUUUCCUUGCACCUGCCUUCCUUGGGGGUAUUACUUUGCACAGACUAUUAAAAGUUCUGCUUCACCAAUGUAGAAUAUUUGCUCUGGAUGCUUGAAAGAAGAGCAGCAAUCUCCUUUUAUCUCAUGAAAUUCUAGAAUCACAGAAUAGCUUGAGUUGGAAGGGAUCUCAAAACCCAUCCAGUUCUAACCAUCUGCUCCGGGCAGCCUGUUCCAGUGCUUCUCCCCCCUGACAGUGAAUAAUUUUUUCCCGAUAUCUAAUCUAAAUCUACCCUCUUUAAAUUUAGAAUCAUUCAGCACAGAGAUACUCAGGAUGAGGAAAUCCCACUUCUGUCCUAGGAAAUUUGAAGCAGAAUCCUGCUUUCUAGAAAGCUGCCCAAAGCAGCAAGGAUCUCAUGUGGGAGAAAGGGGAAGAUCUUCCUCAUGCUGGAGCUGCUCCCCCGCACAAAGGCACUGAGCUCACAGGUCAGCAAGGAGGAAUGUGACUUUGGUGCUUCCCACCCUGGAAGCAGCACUCAUUGGGCCCAUGUCCUUCUGCAGCAUCCAAGCAGUACCAGGGAGGAUCAGGGGCACCUGCUUCAAGCAGCCUUUGCUAGGGAAGCAAGGCCUAUUGUGCCCCUUACAGCUAGUGCUUAUUUCUUCAGCUUUCCAUUUUUUUUCCCUCUCUUCACAGCCCCUUUCAUCUGGAGGGGGACUAAUAUUAAAUUCAGUAUGAAAAUGACAUCUUCUCUAUUCAACUAAUUUAGAACUAAUACAGAGAAGUAUCUCUGUCGCUGAGCAGACUGCUACCUUUUUGGUAGUUUAAAUAAUUUGUGCCAUGCAGCAAGGCACAAAUAAAACCAUAGGAAACAAAAAUAAUAACUAAGGAAAUAUCUACAAGAAACUGAUGGCAGCACGGGAGAUUUACUGUAGAGCAGGGUUCCAGCUCUUAACUGGAAGCUUGAUGUUGCCUGCAGAAUGGAAAUACAGUGAGAUUUCACUUAGAAAACAAAGAAAUUGAAUGAAAUGAAAUUGAAUGAAAUGAAAUUCACUUAGUAAACAAUGAAAAUGAGAGGGCAGUGAGACACUGGCACAACUGCCCAGAGAGCUGUGGGUGCCCCAUCCCUGCAGGCGCUCAAGGCCGGGUUGGGUGGGCCCUGGGCAGCCUGAGCUUGUGGGGGGCAACCCUGUCCAUGUCAGGGGUUUGGAACUAGGUGAUCUUUGAGGUCCUUUCCAACCCAAGCCAUUCUGUGAUUCUAUGCAAUUUGGAUUUUUUUUCAGAAUUCUCCAAUCCGCUGUCCAGAACACCCCUGUAAAAGAUGGCUGGGGACAUGAAAACCCCGGAACCUGGGCUAGCAAGUGGCUGGGAUGCCUGAGGUGCUGAAGGAUGCAGCUGGGCAUCGAGGGGAAACUCCUUUUUUUUUUUAUUUUUUUUUUAUUUUUUUAUACGGUGUUUCCAAUCACCGUGCUUGGUGCUGAGAGGAUUUUGCACAUGUAGAGAAAUGCGGAGUGAGGUGGUGGAGCCAGAGCGGGCUUGGACAGCCCUCUGGUGGCCUGGGAACCGGGCUGACGGCUGGGACAGGGAUUAGAAUUAGGAAAAAUUCAUCCCUUCCUUUCCUUUUUCACCAGAAUUUCUCUUGGCGCUCCGCAGCAGCUUUGGUUUAUGUCAACACCAGACACAAGGAUGCAUUUCAGUUCCUGUUUGGCCACUGUAAAGACACACUGGGAGAUGAAAGAGAGAGGAGGAAUGGGUUAAGGUUAUCUCCAGGUUUAUUUAAAUAUCCAAUUAUUUAACCUAGAGAAGGAAAAAAAUCUGUCACUGUUGAAAAAUGUGCAGGUCACUGAAUAUAAGUCAGAUUUUGCAUAUUUUCCUGUCUCAUAAAAAAGGAAUGAUAGAAUACCAAACUAAAAAUAGGGAAAAAAAAGAACAAAACAUCUAUAUGUAAAAUUAAAAUGAUAAACAUCUCUUUGUGUAGUUGUACAUUUUGGUUUUUCAGUGUCAGUUGUCAGUAAAAUGCUAAUUUUGAUCACGUGCUAGGAACACUGAAUUACUUUGCAAUUUGAUUUCUCAGAGGAUGUGCAGUAAAGACUGAGAGCAUCAGCAAGCCCUGGGGCAGGAUCCCUGAAAAGAGCAGCAGGAUUUGCAGAGCUGUCUGCUUGAGAGGAUGCUGUCCUGCAGCAUCCGAGGAGAUGGACCUGGAGCCUGGCACGGUUAGGGAGCUCAGCCUGAAGCCCUUGUCCCAGGACCAGAAGCCUGAGGAAACAGCUGACAAGGACUUGCAGAAGAGAUCAUAAGGCAACAGCCUUUCAGCCAGACGCACACACACAGGCUGCCUGGACAGCUGUCUGAGCCCGUCUGUCCCAGCUGGAACAGCACGCCUCUCCUCUGGGUAUAAAGGAACAGUGUUUUACAGCUUGGAAGUAAAAGGAAAAAUCUACGAUUAAGACACAUUUGAGCGCUGUGACAAUGGAUACCUGCUGGGAGGCUGGCUUUGCUCCUUGAGUGCCCAGAUAACAACAGUGCCUGGUGUAACUCAGGGUACCUUCAUGUCUUCUGCAUGACCAGGUAGAAAUGGUCUGAACAUGGUUCCUGCCAGGGGAAAAUUGGAGUUCAUUCAUUCAUUCAUUAAUUCAUCCAUUCAUUCAUUCUGCAUACCAUUAUUUUUCAGACCCUUCCAAACACCACAGGCAGAAUACAGAAUAGAGGAUGAGAACAGUCUCAUCCCAGGUUGCAGAAAGACUGAUUUAUUGGUAGCAGCAGUAGAGACGUUUACUGCGUUCCCCUUUUCAAAAUUGCAUCGUGCCAUGGUUGCAGACACAGGCCUGGAAUUUUACUACUUUCCUCUGUUAGCAAUACUUAGUAGGAUGCAUUUCAUCGAGGUUCAAGUUCAAGAGCUUCUUAGUGCUGGUAAAGAAAACAAGGGAGUUGUUAACUGCCCAUCAGCAGCUGCUGCUGCUGUGAACACUGAAGGGAAAUUCUCCCUUUGCUGAUGUUUCCACAGUUCUGCUAAAGUCCCAGCUGUCUCACUGCUGUUUUGGUCAUGCUAUGUCUCAGCCAGGUAUCUCGAUCUUUAAGGAAGUCUGUAUCCAGCUUCAGCUUUUACUGUUAAUGGCUGGUAUAACUAACACGGGGCCUGCCGGCCAGUUUUGUGCUGAGUUGGCAGGUAUUUGCUUCUUAACUUGCUCUUAAAGGUUUUGGGGCCAUCUCUAAUUCACAAUUGCCUUUAAAACUUUAUUAUCCCAGUAAAUCCUGAAAUAUUUUUUUUUUAUUGAAGUUUGAAGUUUUAUUCUCAAGGAUAACUUUUAUUUGUACUUUUGGAAAUGAACUCUUUUAAUGUCGAGGUUACUGUUUGUGCAGAGAAGUAUUAUCCGAAAUUUAGGAACCAGGAUGCCUCUUAAGAAUCUGUGUGCCUUGUAAUUAAAAUACAUGCAAAAACGGUUUUCCCUUUCCCAGCUUGCUGAAACUUCAUAUCUGAUCUGACACUUUUCUACUUUGCAAGACAAAUUUCAUCAGUUUUUAUUUCAUUUUUUUCCAUGACAUUCACUUUGGCUGCAUGUUGGAGAAGCAACAAUGAUUGCUGUAACCUGCCUGUGAUAUUUGGACGGCUAUAGAUGAAAAUAGAGGUUCUUAGAAAACAGCAGCCGUACUACCAAAAUUGCUUCUCUGUCUGGGAAAGAAUAUUGCAUUAUCUAAAAUCAGUUCUGCACAGGAUUUGCAUUAGAAUCUGUAAAAGAUUGAAAGCAAAGCUGUGCCAGGAAUUUGAAGAGCUUCUUGCAGAUUUUUAGAUUCCUGCAGUUUUCAUUUGAAGUGCUAAUGCUAAGUCUUCCUUUUGAAGAAGGAUGCCAUAAAAUAUGAGAGGCCUACAACAUCAAUAAAAGCUUAAUGGUGUCCUGAGCUUUCAUCUGUUGGAUUUGCUGCUACAACUUCUUGGAUUUAAUGAGUGUCUCCUACAGCCUCAUCAGUUAAUCCAGGGGCGAUUACAGCCACUACCACACUCAGAGAGCAUGCAGUGAGAAGGGGGUGUUCAGACACGGGGCCACGGGCGCGCACACAGCCCAUCACCAGAUUUCAGGAAGGACCCAUGUGUGACAGACAUUUUAGUUCGUUUCUUUAUAAACGAGCAUCAAAAUCCUUUGCUAAAAGUGGGUGAGAAGAGCCUUGUGUGGAUUUACACAAGCCAUACACAACUAGGUAUAAUGUAUGUAAUUGAGCCUCGAUGCACUUUUCACAAAUGACUGUUGACAGACCAGAACUGGAACCAACAAUGGCAGAUUGCUGCUCUGGGUCAACACUUCGUCCAUUCCUCCCGUUCCAGCCCUGUGAAGAGCCCAUGUACCAAGGUGAUGAAAUCCACAAUAGCUUAAAGCCUGUGGUGAGCUCCACUGAAAAUCCCAAGAGCUAAACUGACUUUUGAAAUCAGCGUAAUUUAAUUAUGCUUAUAAAUGAGGCUCUUCACACGCAACAAAAAACAAUUCAAAAGGAAGAAAUUUGCUGUCUUUUAAAUACUUUCCAGAAUACACUAAUAAUUUAAAGUAUUCCUCUCUCUGCUUUGCAGAUCACAUUAUUUAGAAAUUGCAGUUCACAUCUGAAAACUCCAAGAAGUGAUUCAGACCAAAUAAGGUCUGAACUGGCAGCUUGUGGAGUUUGUUCCAAUUACAGGGUCAGCCAAAGCAGGACAUUUUAUAAUUACAGAUCUGGGCUGUUGUUCUUGCUGAUUAAUGCGUUUGGGUGCUCAGCCAUUCUUACAGAAGGAAAGACAAAAGCGUUGUUGGAGCUUUCUCAUUUGUUACAGGCAGAGUCCUCAAGCAGCCGAUGGAAAUGCUGACACAGAAAUACACUGAAAGCAGACAUACGGACUCAACAACAACACUUUCAUCUUAAUAACCUUUCAGACAAAAAUCAUGCGUUAUACAGAUUCAGAGUAAGGCUCUAUCAUGUUUACUUUUAACUUGUAUCAAAGGUCAGUAUCGCUCAGCUUUUCUCAGAGUCCAAGUCUAAUCUUCCCAGCGCGUUAGCUGACCCUAGAAAUGAAUUCUACAGCUGGAAAACCUGCAUAAAGGAGGGAGGAAAAACAGAAUCGCUAAAGUUGUUGAAAACAAAAAUCCUUAACGUUCCAAUUAAUGAAAGCAUGUUCUUUCAAAAGCAGCUGUUGUUAACGUCUCUAAGAUGGUUACUGUGCAAAAGCAGAGUUCCUUCCGUACUGCACAGUCCAAAGUGCUGUAUUGUCAGCUAACAAAAUCCCACCCUAACUAAUGCACGGCAUUCAGGAUGCCUCACUCGGUGCUAGAAUUUGUUGCACGCUUCACAGUAAGCAUUAUCCUAAGGUAUUGAACCAGUCCAGGGAAAUCAAUACUCUUGCAAACAGCCUUCUCCCCUCCCCCACUCCCCCAAAAUAAAAAGAAACAGAAUGGAGAUGCAAAGAUCAAAUAGCAAGUUUGCCAUCUGGGGAGAAGACAGACAUUGAAGGAAGAUCGUUUUUUCUGUGCAAAAAGGUAAUUUCUUCAUAUCGGCUCCCACCCUCUGCUUCAUUGGAGGAGUACCUCCCUUGCUUUGACCAGUGUACAAAAUAUCUUUUCAAUUUGCUUUUAUUAUUGUAAUAGCUCAACCUGUAGUUCGCAUUUUAUAGAGAUGCAGAAAAUUAGAAUGUACAACAGAAGUCCAGUCUUCCAGAGCAGGAUGGUAAUUGAACAUACACAAAAUGCCAGGAUUACUGAUACAGACUUUUCUGCUAAGUAUCGCACUUAGAAAAUUAUGGAAUAUGCUUUUCAAACCUGCAGUGAAAGGAGUGUAAGCAUGGCAGUUGUAGCUCCAGUUAAUUUGCAUAGAAGACUGCGGCAGUUCCAAGACCUGGCUGGUCGCCAGGUGCUCACCAAGCCUUUCUCUCACUCCCUCUCCUCAGCAAGAUGGGGAAUGUCAGAGAAAAGCUUGUGGGUAGGGAUAAGGCCAGGGAGAUCACUCACCAGGUACCGUCAUGGUCAAAACAGAUGCAGGCUGUGGAGGGCUGAUUACAUUUAUUGCCGAUUAAUAAUCAACUAGAGUAGGGAGAGCUGAAAGCAUACUAAAACCACCUUCCUCUCAGUCCUUUUCUUCCCAGGGUCAACUUCAAACCUCCUCCGCCAAGCAGUGCAGGAGAAUGGGGGCUGUGGUCGGUUCAUAUCGCUUCAUCUUGCUGCUUUUCCACGGUCGUGUGCUGCUCCUGCUCCACAUGGGGUGCCUCCCACGGGAUGCUGUCCUUCCCAAUCUGAUUCCAUGUGGCUGCAGCUCUACAUGCACUGCUCCAACAUAGCUCUGCAUCACAAGGCCCACCCUUCAGGCACUGCUCCAGCAAGGGGCCCCACAGGCAGCUGCUGCCUCUGCCCUCCGGCUCCACUGCAGGCUCCUGUCCAUGGGCUGCAGUUGUGGCCCAAGACCUGCUCCAGUGUGCACUCCCCCCAGGGUGCAGCUUCCUUCAGAGCACAUCCAAUUGCUCCAGUGUAGAGUCCCAUAUAGGCUGCAGUGUGGAUACCUGGCCCACUAUGAGCUUCUGUGGGCUACAGGGAACAGCCUGUCCCAUCGUGGCCUUUCCCAGUACCCGCAGGAUAAUCUGCUCUUCCUCCGCCUUUUUCACUGACCUUGGUUUCUGCAGUGUUAUUUCUAAUUUUUCUUACUCCUCUCUCACAGCUGCUGUGCAGCAUUUUUCAUCCUGGCUUAAAUACGUUACCAGAGCCACCACAGAGUCACUCACAGGCUCAACUUUGUCCAGCAGCAGGUCCCUCUGUGAGCUGGCUGGAACUGGCUCUCAUCUGACCUGGGGUAGCUUCUGGGCUCCUCUCCCAAGCCUCCAGCCCUCCCUGCUACCAAACUCUUGUCCCCUAAGCCCAAUACAAAGACCCUGUCUCUGAAGUUUCAUUUUAUACUUAUUGAAGGUGAAUGAAUAUGUACUACAGAACUGAAAGUAUUUCUGAGGAUGACCUGAACGGGAAUAGGUAUGCUGUACCUUGAGGAAAGGACAGACCACAUCCCCUGCCUCCAUCAAAAAUACAUCUGGACUACUGGAGUGCCAGAACUUUUUGUUUUGUUGACCCUAUUGUACAUUUCAUACUUCACUACUAUACUAACAAUAGUUGCCUAAUCACUAAGCAGUAAAACAGCAUUUACUCGCUAAGAUAGUUAUCAAACUACGCUUAUUUUGUUUGUUUAAAUCCACAGCUUUUAUAGAUUUUACUGAACAAAUGCUGGUUUCAUUAUCCUAGUAAUGACCAAACACACUGAUACUGGAAAUGAGAAACAUUUAUUACAGCUGCUCCAUUAUUUCCAGCAAAACUAAUGGAGUAAGUAAAGUUCAGACAUGUUCAUUGUUUAAUAAUUUAAGUAAGCAAAACAAAAGUCCUAAAAAUAAUUUUCUUAAGACUAUUCUACCUACAGCACUAUUCAGUGAAACACAAAAACAAUGAAGUACCAAUAUUUGCUAUACGUGACAAAGAAACUCAAAGUCAGCUAAUGACUGCUACUGCUAAAUAAAUAGAAACAAAAUGUAAGAACUUUUCUUCCAUUGAGAGAGAAAGCUGUAAA